UCUCUACUGGAAUAAAGGAUGGGGUGGGAGUGAACAGACCUACUACUUAUUGUGGUUAUAGGUAGUCCUCACUUAACAACCACAAUUAGGACCAGAAUUUCAGUUGCUAAGUGAAGCACUCAUUAAGCUAAUUUGACCUGAUUUUACAGCCUUUUUUGCGGCGGUCAUUAAGCAAAUCACCAUGGUCAUUAAGUGAGCCACAUGGUUGUUAAGUGAAUCACACGGUUCCCCAUUGAUUUUGCUUGCCAGGAGCCAGCUGGGAAGGCUGAAAAUGGCAAUCACAUGACUGCAGGAUGCUGUGACAGUCGUAAAUGUGAACUGGUUACCAAGCACCCAAAUCGUGAUCAUGUGACUGUGGGGUUGCUGUGAUGGUCAUAAGUGCGAGGACUGGCUGCAAAUCAUUUUUCCAGUACUAAGGAGGUAUAAGAGGCAAAGCUGAUAGCUGAAGAGAUGGAUCCCUUUCUCCCGACAGGCCAGCCUACAGUUGCUCAAAAUAAGCUGGUUGAAUAUAUAUCAUGGUGCUACUGCUGUUGCCAAGCAACCACUCUGUGCAAUUGCAUGAAUGAAGAAAUAAAUUUAUGGGUCAAGCAAUAGGA
Candoia aspera is the source of this 596-nucleotide long non-coding RNA. RefSeq lists it as uncharacterized. The transcript is spliced from 2 exons. The record is from RefSeq and is a predicted model, not a curated record. NCBI's taxonomy places the organism in Eukaryota, Metazoa, Chordata, Lepidosauria, Squamata, Candoiidae.